Molecule: long non-coding RNA, 493 nt
Filed under: Solanum tuberosum (potato)
Lineage: Eukaryota; Viridiplantae; Streptophyta; Magnoliopsida; Solanales; Solanaceae
Description: long non-coding RNA (STUB_LNC006134)
Source: RNAcentral
UCUUCAUAUUCCGAGUCAGCCGGGCAACUAAAACCGAAGCACAAGGCUGGAAAACUGAACGAAGUCUCAGAAAGCUGAAAAUAAGCCAAAAUACAGCUUGUAUACAGUGGUAUACGUCAAUAUACACGACAAAAACAGUGAGAUACAGGUCUAAAACGUAGGAAUACAGGGACGGGACGAAGUAUAUGUGUUUGGAAGCAAGAUAUACAUGAAAAGAGCUGAUUUAUAUGCUCAUAUACAUUGAUAUACGCCCCGUGUAUACGCAAAAAGGGGAAUUGGAUUAGCCCUAAAUUCCAGCGAAUUUGGCCCAAAAGGAGGCCCAAAUUCAUUUUCUCCCUUACUCUUUAAUUAUUUAAUUGUGAUUAUUUAUUGUUUGUUGUUUAACUCUAACUUUAUAAUUUUUAAUUAACCUAAUUAGACUCCCCAAAAAAUAAGUUAUUUUCUUUGUGUUGGUUAACUUUUAAUAUAUAUUUUUUUAAUUUUAUUUAUGUGG